UGUACCUGCACAUGAUGAAAACUAUGUUGGUAGGGACAUCUGAGAGGGUGAUGAAUGCCAACAUAAUCUGAGCUGGGCA
Molecule: small nucleolar RNA, 79 nt
Filed under: Chaetura pelagica (chimney swift)
Lineage: Eukaryota; Metazoa; Chordata; Aves; Apodiformes; Apodidae
Description: Small nucleolar RNA SNORD74
Rfam family: Small nucleolar RNA SNORD74
About the family: Z18 also identified as U74 (SNORD74) belongs to the C/D class of snoRNA which contain the C (UGAUGA) and D (CUGA) box motifs.
Source: Rfam by way of RNAcentral